UACGUAGGUGGCAAGCGUUGUCCGGAUUUAUUGGGUUUAAAGGGUGCGUAGGCGGCUUUGUAAGUCAGUGGUGAAAUAUGGCAGCUCAACUGUCAGGGUGCCAUUGAUACUGCGGAGCUUGAGUACAGAUGAGGUAGGCGGAAUUGACGGUGUAGCGGUGAAAUGCUUAGAUAUCGUCAAGAACACCGAUAGCGAAGGCAGCUUACUAGGCUGUAACUGACGCUGAGGCACGAAAGCGUGGGGAUCAAACAGG
This 253-nucleotide ribosomal RNA is filed under the name uncultured bacterium. RNAcentral describes it as "partial 16S ribosomal RNA". It matches the Rfam family "Bacterial small subunit ribosomal RNA", at positions 524 to 776 of the family's 1533-position model. The record is from RNAcentral.